Molecule: long non-coding RNA, 2027 nt
Filed under: Carassius auratus (goldfish)
Lineage: Eukaryota; Metazoa; Chordata; Actinopteri; Cypriniformes; Cyprinidae
Description: lncRNA (ENSCARG00000041815.1)
Source: RNAcentral
GAAAAACACUAGUAUAGUACUGCACACUAUUAUAGUGUUUAUUAAUAUAUUAAAUUAAAAUGUUAUAUUUACUUUUUAUUUUAAUGUUAGUUAAAAGUUCUAUUAAAUUUGUUGUGCAUUUUUGUUAUUUUUAUAAAAUUAUUUAGUUAUUUUGAGUACAUCAAGUUAAACUAAAUUUUUUAAUUUGGGCUUAAGAAAUUCUAUUGAUAUGUGUGUGUGUGUGUGUGUGUGUGUGUGUGUCUCAGUCGGAGCAGCUGCAGAUGAAGCUCAUCCAGGAGAAAGAUCUCAACAAUCAGCUGGAGGGUGACAAGGCCAUCCUGGAGAGACAGGUGUGUGUGUGUGUGUGAUAAUAUAUUAAUAGAGUAAUUGAAAUUGAGUAUAUCUGCUGUACUGAUGCUGAUGCUGUGUUCAGCUGCGGGAUCUGCGCAGAGAGAUGGAGGAGCUGCAGAAUAACAGAGUGGAGGUGGACUCCAUCAACAGAGCCGAGAUCAAAGCCAGAGAACUGGAGAACACACUGAGAGCCGAGGAGAGGAGUAAAGUAGUGAUGAGCAACACCAUCAGCAAACUGGAGAAGAAGAUCCUGGAGCUGACGGAGCAGAUGGAGGAGGAGCACAAGAUCUCCAGCGAGCAGAGAGAGCUGAUGAAUCAGCGAAUCCGUUCACUGAAGCGGCAGCUGAACGAGGCAGAGGAGGAGGCGAGUCGACGGGACGUCCAGCACCGAAUGACACACAGAGAACUGAUGGAGGAGAGAGAGACUAACAGCCGUCUGCAGAGACAAGUACUGGACCACCAGCUGCAGAACAAGAGGAAAGAGUCCAGACACACUCUUGAAAGCCUGAAUCUGAACCUGAGUGAGGAUGAUGUUGGUAAAGAAGAGGAAGAGAAGCAACAGAGUGAGUCCCAACCCACAGAGAAGCAGAUCACUCAGGUGUGACUGGACCCCAGCCAAAUCCCCCUGUAAACCUGCUGUUUCCCCUCAACUAUCAAAGACUUCAAACCAAAACAUUCACACAAACUACUUGAGUCCAGGUCUCAUGAGAGAGACCGGAUCCAGAGAUGCUCUGCGUGAACAGGAAGUGGAAAACACUGUGGGAAAGCUCUUUCCUGUGGACUGACACUCUUAGGGUUUUAUUGAGAAGCUCUUUCAGGAGACUCUGCCAAACCUGGUUACAGUAAGCUACCGCGUGCAUUAGUUCUCUAUCAAGCUCUCCUUUCUGUUUCUGUUGUUAUUUUCAGUUCAAUCAGCCGUUUACAUUAUGCAUAUAUUAAUAUAAUGGAGAUUAUGAAGUGAUGAAGUGUUUGAGAUUGAUUUGCAUGCGUUCAGCGAUCAGGACAGCUGAUGUAUGGACCUGUGCUGAUUGUAUUCUGCUGAAGGUUUUUAGGGAAUCCUGUUUAUUAAGUGUUGAUGAUGCUGUGUGUCUCUGAAACACAGCAGCAGUUUCUGCUCCAGGGUGUUCAUGUGUACUACCGCAUGGUAAUAAAAUAUUAUAAACCAAGAUGUUUUUUUUUUUGGUCUAUAACUUAAAAUACUGGCAUUAACUGUCAAUUAAUAAAAUGACAAAAACGUUUAGUUUAUGUCUCACUUGUCAGAGAAUACAAGUCAUAAUUGUUGCAUUUUAAUAAUAUAUAUAAAUAUAUAUAUAUACUGUAUAUUGAUGAAAAAAGCUGUUAUUUUGAAAUGUAUUUUAGUAAAAAAAAAAAAAAAAUUUAAUUGUAUGUGUAUUUUGAAAAAUACAUAUUGAAGUAUAUUUUAAAAUGCAUUUGAGAAUUCUAUAUAUUCAUCAUUCAGAAAUGGACCAUUCAAACUCGAGAUGAUUUUUUCCUCUUUAUUCUUUAGUAACAUGUUGCACGCAUAACAAAAAAUAAACGCUCUCAAAGGAAACCGAAGAGUUAAUUUUUUUAACCGGUUGUGUUGUUUUCUGUACCGUGAUGCAGUAAAAGAGUCGGGCAGCGUUUCAUUGGUCAGUAGAUCUUUACAGGCACGAGGAGAGAAAACCCUUCAGUGUAAACGUCAAGAGAACAACAUC